Molecule: long non-coding RNA, 127 nt
Organism: Sphaeramia orbicularis (orbiculate cardinalfish)
Lineage: Eukaryota; Metazoa; Chordata; Actinopteri; Kurtiformes; Apogonidae
Exons: 3
Source: RefSeq, a predicted model, not a curated record
UUACUCUUCUUAAAUAAUAAUUAUUUAUUUAUUUAUUGCUUUUUAUAAUUUUCCAUUGACAUGUCCAUCUUAGGCACAUACAGAUAUUCACAUACACACUGUACAUUCAUUUAUAUUUACAUGUGUA